Molecule: ribosomal RNA, 540 nt
Filed under: uncultured delta proteobacterium
Lineage: Bacteria; Deltaproteobacteria
Also listed under: 1 other name
Description: bacterial SSU rRNA
Rfam family: Bacterial small subunit ribosomal RNA
Source: RNAcentral
CAGGAUAAGUCGUAACAGGUAGCCGUAAGUCGUAACAAGGUAUCGUAGAGUUUGAUCCUGGCUCAGAACGAACGCUGGCGGCGUGCUUAACACAUGCAAGUCGAACGCGAAAGCAUCCUUCGGGGUGCGAGUAGAGUGGCGCACGGGUGAGUAACACGUAGACAACCUGCCUUCCAGUUCGGGAUAACCUCUUGAAAGAGGGGCUAAUACCGGAUAACACGCUUCAUCGCAUGGUGAGGCGUUGAAAGGCUUGCUGCUGGAAGAGGGGUCUGCGGGACAUUAGCUUGUUGGUGGGGUAACGGCCCACCAAGGCUGCGAUGUCUAGCGGGUCUGAGAGGAUGAUCCGCCACACUGGAACUGAGACACGGUCCAGACUCCUACGGGAGGCAGCAGUGGGGAAUUUUGCGCAAUGGGCGAAAGCCUGACGCAGCAGCGCCGCGUGAGUGAAGAAGGCUCUUGGGUCGUAAAGCUCUUUUCUGAGGGAAGAGCAAAGACGGUACCUCAGGAAUAAGCACCGGCUAACUCCGUGCCAGCAGACGC